Asterias rubens (European starfish) is the source of this 544-nucleotide long non-coding RNA. RefSeq lists it as uncharacterized. The transcript is spliced from 3 exons. The record is from RefSeq and is a predicted model, not a curated record. Lineage: Eukaryota; Metazoa; Echinodermata; Asteroidea; Forcipulatida; Asteriidae.
GUUUAUGCGGAGUACAUGUAUGUUGUACUGCUGUACAUAGUAUAAAACUGCUAUUGCUACACUACUUUUAAGUAAAUACACCACCAUACACAAGCAACCGGUUUCUGUUGAGCCAGUCACCAGUGCAGUGACGGCAAGUUAUGAGCAAUUCAGAAAUUAGCUGUUGACGUGCAUGUACACAGGCCUACAUACAUCCCAUACAAAUUUCACCAUGGACUCAACAAAGAUGAAGACACCACACAUCCUGUGUACAUCGAAAUGGAUGAAAAAUCGGCACAUGUGUCUACAGAGUUAGUAGUUGCAGAAGGCGAGGUAGUUUCUGUUGUUGAUGAUGUAACAACAGCAGUCGCGUGCUACAUUUCCUCGUUUUUUGUAUUUCACCUGCAGUACAUCCCAGAACUAGUGAAGACAAUUGCUUUUUAUCAAUAUGGUGUUCUUAAGAUUGACGACCAGACUGGUAUUCAUAGUUCAUAUUCUUUGGAUUCCGUGACCAUUUAUUUGCUACCUUUUUUUCUCGAUGGAUUUGACGUCAGGAACCAUUUAA